RNAcentral lists this ribosomal RNA (227 nucleotides) under uncultured bacterium. RNAcentral's name for it is "partial 16S ribosomal RNA". It matches the Rfam family "Bacterial small subunit ribosomal RNA", at positions 15 to 228 of the family's 1533-position model. The record is from RNAcentral.
GAUCCUGGCUCAGGACGAACGCUGGCGGCGUGCCUAAUACAUGCAAGUAGAACGCUGAAGAGAAGAGCUUGCUCUUCUUGGAUGAGUUGCGAACGGGUGAGUAACGCGUAGGUAACCUGCCUGGUAGCGGGGGGAUAACUAUUGGAAACGAUAGCUAAUACCGCAUGACAUUGAUUAUCGCAUGAUAAUUAAAUUGAAAAGAAUGCAAUUGCAUCACUACCAGAUGG